Molecule: ribosomal RNA, 253 nt
Filed under: uncultured bacterium
Lineage: Bacteria
Description: partial 16S ribosomal RNA
Rfam family: Bacterial small subunit ribosomal RNA
Source: RNAcentral
UACGUAGGCAGCAAGCGUUGUUCGGAGUUACUGGGCGUAAAGGGUGUGUAGGCGGUUGUUUAAGUUUGGUGUGAAAUCUCCCGGCUUAACUGGGAGGGUGCGCCGAAUACUGAAUGACUAGAGUGCGGGAGAGGUGAGUGGAAUUCCUGGUGUAGCGGUGAAAUGCGUAGAUAUCAGGAGGAACACCGGUGGUGUAGACGGCUCACUGGACCGUAACUGACGCUGAAACACGAAAGCGUGGGUAGCAAACAGG